Molecule: long non-coding RNA, 1058 nt
Filed under: Gallus gallus (chicken)
Lineage: Eukaryota; Metazoa; Chordata; Aves; Galliformes; Phasianidae
Description: lncRNA (ENSGALG00010004833.1)
Source: RNAcentral
GGUGGCGUGUGUGAAGGCUGCCGUGCCUCAGCUCCCUGCCCGCGUGUUGGCUACACGUGGGCGCAGUGGUCAGCUCCAGUGCGUGGAGCGUUUGCACUCACUACUACGCCACAAAGCUUUGCUGUGUGGGCCACCUCAUGUCAGGCCAUCCCACCUGGCUGCUCCUGAGCCUCCUGUCCUCGCUGCGCUGCCCUGGCAGGCCGAGGUCUGGCUCUGCAGACCGCCAUUUGCAGCAGAGAAGUGGUGAAAAAUGUGCUUGUGAGUAGGCCUCGGCACUGCGCUCCUGUCAGGUGCUCCACUAUAGAACAGAUAUGCAAAGAAGAAAGUUCUGCCAUGGAAGUAAUGCAGAAAGCUAAGGAAAAGAAGACUUCUAAGUUCAAUUCUAAGGUAAAGAUUUCGAAGCUUGUAGAGCAGCCUCUCCCUUUACGUGGGUCUUACGCAGAGAACUACUAUUUUGUGGAGAGUAAAAGCCAUUAGAUAUUGCUGUGUGACAUUUUGCACUUUCAAGGAGUGUAUAGGUUAAGACUGACCACGAGGAUUCUACAGCUGAUGUUGGUAAAUGUCCUUAGGCCACAGCUUUAACUUCAUUUCUACUAUGCAGCUCUAAAGGCUUGAAGACCAAGUUGUACAAACAUGUAGGUAACUAUAAAAAAUGUACUAAAUGAAAACAACAUUAAAAUGAUUUAUAAGCAGUUCUCCAUGUUUAUAGGAGGGGCAGAAACACUACAUUUGAAGACUGGAGUUGAAAGUCUGAGUUUAUGGUGGAGAGGUGCUGUUUCCAAGCUUUAAUUGUAAGAAUGAUUCAUUGUCGCGCGAGAUGUUCAUGGAAGAUUAUGCAGAACUUUACUGCUACUAAGGUAACAGAGAACACACAAACCAAAGAUUGCAGAUGUAUGAAAAAUAUGAUAAAGGAUUGUUUAUUUAGCAAGGUGCAACAGGCACAGAAGAAAAAUCCAGGAGAAACUGAACAUUAUAUUUAAGGCAGGAUAAAGGGAUAAGAUGGCAGAUUGUUUGUCUAGGACUUUUUAGAAACUUUCUGGUCUGAAGAUUGUUGGUAC